This 71-nucleotide transfer RNA is filed under the name Trichobilharzia regenti. It matches the Rfam family "tRNA". Rfam says of the family: Transfer RNA (tRNA) molecules are approximately 80 nucleotides in length. Their secondary structure includes four short double-helical elements and three loops (D, anti-codon, and T loops). Lineage: Eukaryota; Metazoa; Platyhelminthes; Trematoda; Strigeidida; Schistosomatidae. The record is from Rfam by way of RNAcentral.
UCUAUUGUGUCUAGCGAUUAGGACUCCUGGCUUUCACCCAGGAGGCCUGGGUUCGACUCCCUGCGCGGGAG